UAGGGAAUCUUCGGCAAUGGGGGAACCCUGACCGAGCAACGCCGCGUGAGUGAAGAAGGUUUUCGGAUCGUAAAGCUCUGUUGUUAAGGAAGAACGAGUGUGAGAAUGGAAAGUUCAUGCUGUGACGGUACUUAACCAGAAAGGGACGGCUAACUACGUGCCAGCAGCCGCGGUAAUACGUAGGUCCCGAGCGUUGUCCGGAUUUAUUGGGCGUAAAGCGAGCGCAGGCGGUCAAUUAAGUCUGAUGUGAAAGCCCCCGGCUCAACCGGGGAGGGUCAUUGGAAACUGGUUGACUUGAGUGCAGAAGAGGAGAGUGGAAUUCCAUGUGUAGCGGUGAAAUGCGUAGAUAUAUGGAGGAACACCAGUGGCGAAGGCGACUCUCUGGUCUGUAACUGACGCGGAGGCUCGAAAGCGUGGGUAGCAAACAGG
RNAcentral lists this ribosomal RNA (429 nucleotides) under Bacteroidota bacterium. RNAcentral's name for it is "Bacteroidetes bacterium partial 16S ribosomal RNA". It matches the Rfam family "Bacterial small subunit ribosomal RNA", at positions 355 to 776 of the family's 1533-position model. The record is from RNAcentral. Lineage: Bacteria; Pseudomonadati; Bacteroidota.